ACCAUCUUUUAGGGCUACAAAAUUCACCUCCUCCUUUGUAUACCAUAGAGAUUUGAAAACUCUGUACAUUGCCUCUUUGUUCACUUUCUCUUGUGUCAUCAAUUUACCUAUAGCCCAAUGUUCAUAUCCUUUAGAGUUAUCCUUAUUUGCUUUUUACCUGACCACCCUCUUUUUUUCUUCCUCUGAAAAACUUAGUUUCGCCAGCAAGAUACUAAUAUCUUCUUCCAUGAUUAACACCAGUAAAGUCCUAAGAUUCAAACAAAACCACUUUCUUCCAAACAAACCCCCAGACAGCCUUCAGUCUCUAUGGCCAGAACAAGAAACCGAAAGAAAAGGAAAAUCGAGAGAAGUAAAACUCCCCACGAAGAACCAC
This 373-nucleotide long non-coding RNA is filed under the name Gossypium barbadense (sea-island cotton). RNAcentral's name for it is "long non-coding RNA (GBAR_LNC015338)". The record is from RNAcentral. Lineage: Eukaryota; Viridiplantae; Streptophyta; Magnoliopsida; Malvales; Malvaceae.